CCAAAGGCUCUUUUCAGAGCCACUCACACUCCCACUGAAAGUAGCU
Loxodonta africana (African savanna elephant) is the source of this 46-nucleotide regulatory RNA element. It matches the Rfam family "Histone 3' UTR stem-loop". Rfam says of the family: The mRNAs of metazoan histone genes lack a poly-A tail. 3' end processing occurs at a site between a highly conserved stem-loop (modelled by this family) and a purine rich region around 20 nts downstream (the histone downstream element, or HDE). The record is from Rfam. Lineage: Eukaryota; Metazoa; Chordata; Mammalia; Proboscidea; Elephantidae.